Molecule: ribosomal RNA, 254 nt
Filed under: uncultured bacterium
Lineage: Bacteria
Description: partial 16S ribosomal RNA
Rfam family: Bacterial small subunit ribosomal RNA
Source: RNAcentral
GACGUAGGGCGCGAGCGUUGUCCGGAUUUAUUGGGCGUAAAGAGCUCGUAGGCGGCUUGUUACGUCGACUGUGAAAACCCGCGGCUCAACCGUGUGGUCUGCAGUCGAUACGGGCAGGCUAGAGUUCGGUAGGGGAGAAUGGAAUUCCUGGUGUAGCGGUGAAAUGCGCAGAUAUUAGGAAGAACACCCGUGGCGAAGGCGGUUCUCUGGGACGGUACUGACGCUGAGACGCGAAAGCGUGGGGAGCGAACAGG